AUGUCUUCCUCCAGCGCCACCCCAAGCAAUCUCGGUCAGGUCACGGAGAAGCUCUCCCGGACGAACUACGUCCUGUGGCGAACUCAGGUUAUGCCGCAGCUAAGGGGAGCUGGGCUCUUCGGCUACGUCGACGGAACGAUGCCGGAACCCACCCGCCUCCUCGUCACCAAGGACAAGGACGGCAAGGAGUCGUCGACGCCCAAUCCUCUCCAUCCCAUCUGGGUGAGGGAAGAUCAACAAGUGCUCGGCUACCUCCUCAACAACCUCUCCAAGGAAGUGCUGAUCGCGGUGACCACGGUCACCACCGCGCACGCCCUCUGGGUGGCGCUUGCAGGCAUGUUUUCCUCUCAAUCUUUGAGCCGUGUAAACAAUAUUCGUACUACCUUGAUCAAUGCACAGAAGGGCACCCAAUCGGUUGCUGCAUACUACGCUCAUAUGCGUGGCCUUGCGGAUGAACUCGCCGCGGCUGGCAAGCCCAUCCAGGACGAUGAGCUCAUCUCCUACCUGCUGCAUGGGCUGGACAUGGACUACCAACCUCUCGUCUCCGCCCUCGACGCCCGUGUCACGCCGGUCUCCAUCGACGAGUUGUACUCCAUGCUGAGCAACUUCGAUCAGCGUGUGGCACAGUUUCACAACACCGGCGGUGGCUUCAAGUCUUCGGCCAACGCCGCCACUCGCGGGUGCGGCGGGUACUCCUCGCGCUCUCGCGGUCCUCCCCGACACAAGGGCAAGCAAGGUGGUGGCAGCUCCAGCAACUCCUCUCGCGGCGGACGUCCCAACUUCGCCAACAACAGGGGCCGUUGCGGCGGGGGUGGCAGCGGUGGUGGCUCGGGCAGAUCAUGUCCUGAUGCAGUACGCUGCCAGAUUUGCGGCAAGCCGGGCCACACGGCCAAGGACUGUUGGUAUCGUUUUGAUGAAGACGAUGCCUCCUCUGAUGAAGAUGACAAGGUAGCUGCUGCCGCUGACGGGUCAUAUGGUGUUGAUACCAAUUGGUAUCUUGACAGUGGUGCUACCAACCACCUCACGGGAGAACUUGAGAAGGUGACUCUUCGUGAAAAAUAUCAUGGCAAAGACCAAAUUCACACGGCAAGUGGUGCAGGAUCAGGCCACGAAGAAAGUUCUCUAUCGAGGUAG
Molecule: ribosomal RNA, 1134 nt
Filed under: Triticum aestivum (bread wheat)
Lineage: Eukaryota; Viridiplantae; Streptophyta; Magnoliopsida; Poales; Poaceae
Description: partial small subunit ribosomal RNA
Source: RNAcentral